CAUGAUUAUUUCACUGAGGAGAAUCAUAGAAUGGGUUGGGUUGGAAGGGACCUUAAAGAUUAUCCACUUCCAACCCCCCUGCCACAGGGAUAUCCCAAAAAGGGAUAGCUCUGCCCUACACAGUGCUUGCUGCCCUGCUAGGAAUUAAACGACACCGACUGGCUCAAGGGAGAGAUGCGUGCACAGCAAGCAACAUUGAUUUAUAAGGUAUAUCUAAAAGGCUGAUAGCUUGAUAGCAUGAUCCAGCCCGACCCCUUGCCUACUUUUGUCAGACCUCCAUGGACUGCUGGAGCUACAAAAGUCUAACAAUGAUGGUGUUGCAUAUUUACCAUAUGAUAGCUAGAAGCUAGGCUUGUUUCUCCAUGCAUCCACGUACCCUUCCUGUGUCAGAAGCACCAACAUUUGCUACAUAUUUUAGUUAGGGAUUGGGGUGGGAUCAUUGGCUGAAUGCCCCACCAAAAAAUAAACAUCUCCAUUUAAGUCGGUGGCUGCUUUGCCUGAAGAAGGACGGCAAGGUACAGGGUUUGCUUCUCAUCUCACUUACUGAGAAGUCUAAACCCAUGGAAUUGUACCAGUGAAACAGGUGUGAGACCUGACCACGGCCCUUGGCCUUUAAAAAGUUCAUAAACCAAAUUCUGUUCCUAGCAAUUGCUUUUUGAAACCAAGUACCUAAAUAUACCAUUGCUGUGGGCUGGUAAAUUAAAACCAGUGCUGAAAUGAGAAGUAGCCAUGUUCUCAACAGAACUGGUUCCACUGUGUUUUGCUUUAAAACAUAUGGAUUAUGCAAUUUAAUUUUGGUUUUUUUUGGUGUAGAUGGUUGCAUUUGUUUGGAGGGAAGAAGCGCACGUUCCUCUCCGAAACUCUUAUCUGUAUUUUUGCAACAGUCAAGACGUUGCAAACAUCUUGCAAACAUGAAGACCAUGCUAAACAUUAAGGUCGUGACUAUGGAAGUGUUAGGACUGACUCCAAGCCAGGCUUUCAGAUCCACCCAUUUGUGGCGCACGGCAGGGUCACGGCCGAGCAGAGCGUGCCGCAAGCCCGUCCUUACAGGUAAAUACGUGAGAUUGGAUAAUGCUCUCGCGGACUGAGCUGUCAUGCUCAUUUAAUGCUAUGGAACCCAGCAGAGUCCUGUCUGAAAGCACAGCUGGACGUGGACCUCGGUGUUUGCAGAACGACCCCGAGACUCCCUGGCCAACCAGCGAGGAAUGCAGCUCAUGAGUCAUUUCCAUGCAGAAAACAAACAAAGAAAAGCCAGACAUACUCGUGAAUAGUCGAGCUCCCUGGGCGUGGAGUCGGUUAAAGCUCGUACGAGGGCGUUCAUCAUGCUGAUGGGAGGAGAAGGCG
Molecule: long non-coding RNA, 1344 nt
Organism: Tympanuchus pallidicinctus (lesser prairie-chicken)
Lineage: Eukaryota; Metazoa; Chordata; Aves; Galliformes; Phasianidae
Exons: 3
Source: RefSeq, a predicted model, not a curated record